GUCACGCCCGAAGUCAUUACCUCAACCGCAAGGAGGGGGAUGCCUAAGGCAGGGCUAGUGACUGGGGUGAAGUCGUAACAAGGUAGCCGUACCGGAAGGUGUGGCUGGAUCACCUCCUUAAAGGGAGACCUAAUUCAGGUAUGGGAUGAAAAAAAGUAGUCCCAACCAAGAAUCAAUCCCAAAAGGUCGGAGCGAGGCAAAAUUGGCUUUCAAACUAGGUUCUGGGUUCACACAAGACCUGAAUCAGGAACAAGGGCGAUUAGCUCAGGUGGUUAGAGCGCACCCCUGAUAAGGGUGAGGUCCCUGGUUCGAGUCCAGGAUGGCCCACCUGCACAGGUGCCAAAACAAAGAAAAAAAGCUCCGAAUCAGCCCCUUAUCUUACUUAUAUAGUAAGAGAGAAUGCUGGCUCUGAGUACAGAGUCCAGAGGAACCUUGAAAACUGCAUAGAGCUAGGUGAAAAAGCCAAAAAAGAAGACCGCAAGGUCAAGCUAAUAAGGGCUAACGGUGGAUACCUAGGCACACAGAGG
This 527-nucleotide small RNA is filed under the name uncultured Microcystis sp. RNAcentral's name for it is "bacterial LSU rRNA". The stretch from base 1 to 120 matches the Rfam family "Bacterial small subunit ribosomal RNA", at positions 1414 to 1533 of the family's 1533-position model. Lineage: Bacteria; Bacillati; Cyanobacteriota; Cyanophyceae; Chroococcales; Microcystaceae. The record is from RNAcentral.